Molecule: ribosomal RNA, 460 nt
Filed under: uncultured bacterium
Lineage: Bacteria
Description: partial 16S ribosomal RNA
Rfam family: Bacterial small subunit ribosomal RNA
Source: RNAcentral
CCUACGGGGGGCAGCAGUGAGGAAUAUUGGUCAAUGGACGAGAGUCUGAACCAGCCAAGUAGCGUGAAGGAUGACUGCCCUAUGGGUUGUAAACUUCUUUUAUAUAGGAAUAAAAUGAUCCACGUGUGGCUUUUUGUAUGUACCUUAUGAAUAAGGAUCGGCUAACUCCGUGCCAGCAGCCGCGGUAAUACGGAGGAUCCGAGCGUUAUCCGGAUUUAUUGGGUUUAAAGGGAGCGUAGGUGGAUUGUUAAGUCAGUUGUGAAAGUUUGCGGCUCAACCGUAAAAUUGCAGUUGAAACUGGCAGUCUUGAGUACAGUAGAGGUGGGCGGAAUUCGUGGUGUAGCGGUGAAAUGCUUAGAUAUCACGAAGAACUCCGAUUGCGAAGGCAGCUCACUGGACUGGAACUGACACUGAGGCUCGAAAGUGUGGGUAUCAAACAGGAUUAGAUACCCUUGUAGUC